GUAAGCAAAAGGGGUUAGUAGGCAAGGCUGAUAGGGACAAGAAGCUGACAAAAGGCAAACAGGAUGCAAUUCAGAAGCAAACAACCUGAAGAGUAGGCCCUUCCUCUUCCCUGUACCUGUGCAGGCUUCUGCCCGCUAGGGACAGAGUGUAUCAGGGCAAAAAGCAGGAAUGAGAUUUUCAGACUCACAGCCCUAGCAUCUCCAAACAGUAUAAAAGGAUGGAUUUUGAAGCCAAAAGAGAAAUAGCUUAGUAAUCAGCAUAGCGUGGUUCUGGUGCUCCACAUGGCCUCUGAACCUAGUAUUGAAGUGUUUUUCCCUGGAAGGUCUUACAAAAUGGUAGUAGGGAUGUCAGAGGGGCCUCUGCUGAGAAAUGGAAGAGGUCCAACCCCUCUCUCCCCCAUCCCCAUUCUUCUUUCAGGUUUGCCUUAUGGAGCACAGCUGGUUGGGAGGGAGAAGUUCCUGAGUUCCUGGCUGGACCCCAGUUGUUAUUUGUCAGAUGACUGCUAGAAUUGGCCCACCCAUGUUCUGAAUUGGUCCCAAAGCAAGCAAUGACGAACUGUCCUCUGUCUUUCAGUAGACAAACUGUCUUCAGACACAUGAGGAUUUUGUCAGGACAGAAAUCAAACUGGUCUGUUGUGUGGCAUUUAACUGCCGAGCAUGGUUGACCUUACCUGAGUUUCUUGUUUGCACUGCAAGGCAGUUAAUAUCAUUCAGCUUCCCCCUCAGAGGUGUACGGGACCUGAUGCACUAAUAGAUGGAACUCCCAAACUGGGGCUCAUGGGUCUCGCUAGCAAAUGGUUCUGGCCAGCCAUGACCACAUUCACAUGAGGACUGAGGAGGCUGCUGGGAAAGACUUCUCCUGGGAGAUAAAUAAUCGGGUAAGACCAGCUGGAUCCACUGAUGAAACCUUGGUCACUGGGGGAGGAGGAUGAUCCUGAGUGACCCAUGUUAUCUGAUGUUGAGAUUUGUCUCCUGAGCCAAACUUUUCUGAGUGCUCUUGGGGGAGGGGGCAGUGAGUCAGUCUCUCACAGGGCUCUUUCACUAAAAUCCUGGAAGACCCAGAAGUACUAAAGCAAAAUGAAGGGGGAGCUUGUUGACCUCAUAACCCACCAUUUCAUAUGUCCCACUGCCCUAGUUGUGACAUGAAAUAGCCAGGUCUCAUAGAGCCCAGUGAAUAGUUGGCAGGGACAGCUUUGUUCCUGAGAAUCACAGAGACAUCUCUGGUGCUCCCUGAAAUAGGCAUGGAGCCCUUCCUGGGGCCUCUGCCCUUACACAAGCAGGCAAAGCAUGCAUGGAGUGGAAUAUGGAUUAUUCUCAUGUAACCUCAUCUGCCUGUCCAAGAUUGAGAGGACUGGAGUAUCUCAGGUUACCCUGAACAUAUUUAACUUCCAUCUCAAAGAGAGAAUUGGCUUUCUCUGAUAUCCACAGCCCACAGCCUUUUCUUAUUUAUGUCUUUUGCAUAUGGCAUUUUCUGCUUGGCAGGAGAGCUACUCUAAUAAGUCUCUCUGCCUUCGUAGGUUUAUGAAAUACCAGAAUAUGAGUUUUGUUAGCCUGUCUGUGUUUCUCUGUAACUAAGGCCCUGUUCUAACACAUAUCAAGCAGCUGUUUUGAACAGAUUCUUUGGCUCUCUGUGCAUAAUAUGGUAUUUACCCAUUUGCAAAUUCCAUGGUUGAUGUUUGAACAGUUGAUGUUUAACUUCAACAACUUGACUGAGCCUGUUGGUCAUUCUCACUUUGUCCGGUCUGUUAGGAUGUCAAACAGAUCCACAUUCCGCAAACUCCCUAGUGUGGCCUGAGAUCAUGUCUUGAUGGAGAUAAGGCCACUCAACAGAUAAGACGCUACUGGAAUCUUCAUGGCAGUAACAGCAUAAACAAAGAUAAAGCCCUCCAGAGAAACUUAGAAGGCACCAGCCAAAAUUUCGGAGUCACUGUGAUGCACUCUUUUUAGAUGACCUAGAGUAAACUUUGCUUAUUACAAUACUAAUUCCCUGGAGACAUUCUUAUCUGCCACUUUGUAAAACCUAAAAUGUAUGACCUUGAAUGCAGCAUGCUCAGAAGUGUGUCCACCUCUAUGUAUGAAGAUAAAUCUUUCCUACAGAAAUAUGUGUAUUGUUUCCUCAAUAAAACCUUAUUUUCUUUGGAUAGGGGCACUGCUUUGAGAUUGAUCUCUAAUGUUCUU
RNAcentral lists this long non-coding RNA (2178 nucleotides) under Heterocephalus glaber (naked mole-rat). RNAcentral's name for it is "lncRNA (ENSHGLG00100034101.1)". The record is from RNAcentral. Lineage: Eukaryota; Metazoa; Chordata; Mammalia; Rodentia; Bathyergidae.